This is a ribosomal RNA of Scophthalmus maximus (turbot), 119 nucleotides long. The record is from Ensembl. NCBI's taxonomy places the organism in Eukaryota, Metazoa, Chordata, Actinopteri, Pleuronectiformes, Scophthalmidae.
GCUUACGGCCACACCGCCUGGUUCACGCCGGAUCUCGUUUGAUCUCGGAAGCUAAGGUAGGUUGGGCCUGGUUAGUACUUGGAUGGGAGACCGCCUGGGAAUACCAGGUGCUGUAAGCU